RNAcentral lists this ribosomal RNA (498 nucleotides) under uncultured bacterium. Its description in RNAcentral is "partial 16S ribosomal RNA". It matches the Rfam family "Bacterial small subunit ribosomal RNA", at positions 30 to 523 of the family's 1533-position model. The record is from RNAcentral.
AUUGAACGCUGGCGGCAUGCCUUACACAUGCAAGUCGAACGGUAACAGGUCUUCGGAUGCUGACGAGUGGCGAACGGGUGAGUAAUACAUCGGAACGUGCCUAGUAGUGGGGGAUAACUACUCGAAAGAGUGGCUAAUACCGCAUGAGAUCUACGGAUGAAAGCAGGGGAUCGCAAGACCUUGUGCUACUAGAGCGGCCGAUGGCAGAUUAGGUAGGUGGUGGGAUAAAAGCGUACCAAGCCGACGAUCUGUAGCUGGUCUGAGAGGACGAUCAGCCACACUGGGACUGAGACACGGCCCAGACUCCUACGGGAGGCAGGAGGGGGGAAUCUUGGACAAUGGGCGAAAGCCUGAUUCAGCAAUGCCGCGGGCAGGAUGAAGGCCUUCGGGUUGUAAACUGCUUUUGUACGGAACGAAAAGCCCUGGGUUAAUACCCUGGGGUCAUGACGGUACCGUAAGAAUAAGCACCGGCUAACUACGUGCCAGCCGCCGCGGUAA